AACGAACGCUGGCGGCAUGCCUAACACAUGCAAGUCGAACGAGACCUUCGGGUCUAGUGGCGCACGGGUGCGUAACGCGUGGGAACCUGCCCUUAGGUUCGGAAUAACUUCUCGACAGGGGUGCUAAUACCGGAUAAUGUCUUCGGACCAAAGAUUUAUCGCCUUUGGAUGGGCCCGCGUUGGAUUAGCUAGUUGGUAGGGUAAAAGCCUACCAAGGCGACGAUCCAUAGCUGGUCUGAGAGGAUGAUCAGCCACACUGGGACUGAGAAACGGCCCAGACUCCUACGGGAGGCAGGAGUGGGGAAUAGUUGACGAGGGGCGAAAGCCUGAUCCAGCAAUGCCGCGGGAGUGAUGAAGGCCUUAGGGUUGUAAAGCUCUUUUACCCGGGAUGAUAAUGACAGUACCGGGAGAAUAAGCACCGGCUAACUCCGUG
This 433-nucleotide ribosomal RNA is filed under the name uncultured bacterium. Its description in RNAcentral is "partial 16S ribosomal RNA". It matches the Rfam family "Bacterial small subunit ribosomal RNA", at positions 29 to 507 of the family's 1533-position model. The record is from RNAcentral.